Molecule: ribosomal RNA, 2022 nt
Filed under: Triticum aestivum (bread wheat)
Lineage: Eukaryota; Viridiplantae; Streptophyta; Magnoliopsida; Poales; Poaceae
Description: partial small subunit ribosomal RNA
Source: RNAcentral
CCGCUGGUGACGUUCGCCAUUGCGGCUCAAGAAACGGAGGACGUUCGCGUCACGGACUGCCCUUUCUUCACGAUGGGAUCGUCGGAGUCAAGCGACUUCACGGCCAAGGACAUGUGGCAGGAGAUCAAACAACAUGGUUCCCUCAGCGAAACCCGCACCGGCAAAGAGCCGAGGGUGUUGAAGCCCGGAUCAUCCAUCGGAGCGGCCGUCGCUGCGGCCACGACGGUGCCGGCAGGGGGGAGCCGCGUGGUGUCGUUUGCUCUGUCGUGGUCGUGCCCCGAGGUGAAGUUCACAGACGGGAAAACGUAUCACAGGAGGUACACCAAGUUCUGUGGCUUGGAUCGAGAUGCUGCUGCAGAGAGCUUGGCUCAUGAUGCUCUUCUUGAACACAUGGAGUGGGAGUCGAAAAUCCAAGAGUGGCAGACGCCUAUUCUGCAGGACAAAAGGCUGCCCGAAUGGUAUCCGGUUGCAUUGUUCAACGAACUCUACUAUCUGAUCGCUGGAGGCACCAUAUGGACAGAUGGACGGCCUCCCAGGAUGAGCGUUGCCUCAUCAGGGACGGGCACCCAAGACCCAUUCUCCCUCGACGUGUUCCGCCGCACAGACCUGCAAGGCAGUGGCACCCCGGUCCCGGUGGUGGACGGCGUCCUGGGCGAGAUGACGUCCGUGACGGAGCGCCUGCGGUCGGCGGCGGCGUUCGGGGCGACGCUGCUCGGCGACGGCGAGGAGAACGUGGGGCAGUUCUUGUACCUGGAGUCGAUGGAGUACCACAUGUGGAACACCUACGACGUGCACUUCUACGCCUCCUUCGCGCUGCUCUCCCUCUUCCCGGAGAUCGAGCUGAGCCUCCAGCGCGACUUCGCCCGCGCCGUCCUCCUCCACGACCCUCGUCCCAUGCGCACCCUCAACGACGGCAAGACCGUGCCGCGCAAGGUCCUCGGCUCGGUGCCGCACGACGUCGGGCUCAACGACCCGUGGUUCGAGCUCAACGCCUACAUGCUCCACGACCCGUCGCGCUGGAAGGACCUCAACCCCAAGUUCGUGAUGCAGGUCUACCGGGCCGUCGUCGCCACGGGCAACGUCGCCUUCGCCAGGGCGGCGUGGCCGGCGGUGUACCUGGGCAUGGCGUACAUGGACCAGUUCGACCGGGACCAGGACGGCAUGGUCGAGAACGAGGGCCGCCCCGACCAGACCUACGACCUGUGGUCCGUGUCCGGGGUCAGCGCCUACACCGGCGGGAUCUGGGUCGCGGCGCUGCAGGCCGCCGCUGCCAUGGCGCGCAUCGUCGGCGACGGCGACGCCGAGCUCUACUUCCGUGCGCGGUACCGCAUGGCGAGGCGCGUGUACGACGAGGAGCUCUGGAACGGCGCCUACUUCAGCUACGACAACAGCGGCGGCAAGACGAGCUCCUCCAUCAUGGCCGACCAGCUCGCCGGGCAGUGGUACGCUCGCGCGUGCGGCCUGGAGCCGGUGGUGGAGGAGGAGAAGGCCCGGAGCGCGCUGGGGACGGUGCUGGACUACAACGUCAUGCGGGUGAAGGGCGGGACGGUCGGUGCGGUGAACGGGAUGCGGCCGGACGGCGGCAUCGACAUGUCGUCGACGCAGUCCAAGGAGAUAUGGCCCGGCACGACCUACGCGGUGGCGGCCGCCAUGAUCCACGAGGGCAUGCUGGAGGCCGGCUUCCGGACGGCCAAGGGCGCCCACGACGCCAGCUGGUCCAAGGACGGCUUCGGCUACGCGUUCCAGACGCCGGAGGCUUGGACGGCAGAGGGCGGCUACCGCGGGCUGCACUACAUGCGGCCCCUCUCCAUCUGGGCGAUGCAAUGGGCGCUGUCGCCGCCGGAGCUCCACAAGGACCUGGGGGUCGGGCCGGUGCCCUCGCCGGGGGACGCCUCAGUUGGACAUGACAAGUUCGAUAAGGUGGCGAGCAUGCUGAGGUUGCCUGAGGAAGAGCAACACAAGGGAUUCCUCCGGGCUCUCUACCAGAUUCUCCGGCAGGUGGUGCUCCCGGCAUCGGCAUGA